CGUCGAAGGUAUACCGACAAGGAGUGCUGGAGCGAAUAGAAGUGAGCAUGCAGGCAUGAGUAGCGAUAAUUAAUGUGAGAAUCAUUAACGCCGUAAACCCAAGGUUUCCUACGCGAUGCUCGUCAUCGUAGGGUUAGUCGGGUCCUAAGCUGAGUCCGAAAGGGGUAAGCGAUGGCAAAUAGGUUAAUAUUCCUAUACCAACAUUAGUGUGCGAUGGAAGGACGCUUAGGGCUAAGGGGGCUAGCGGAUGGAAGUGCUAGUCUAAGGUCGUAGGAGGUUAUACAGGCAAAUCCGUAUAACAAUACUCCGAGAACUGAAAGGCUUUUUGAAGUCUUCGGAUGGAAAGAAGAACCCCUGAUGCCGUCGAGCCAAGAAAAGUUUCUAAGUUUAGCUAAUGUUGCCCGUACCGUAAACCGACACAGGUGGGUGGGAUGAGUAUUCUAAGGCGCGUGGAAGAACUCUCUUUAAGGAACUCUGCAAAAUAGCACCGUAUCUUCGGUAUAAGGUGUGCCUCCCUUUGUAUUAGAAUUCACUUCGAAAGCAAAGAAGGUUACAACAAAGAGUCCCUCCCGACUGUUUACCAAAAACACAGCACUCUGCUAACUCGUAAGAGGAUGUAUAGGGUGUGACGCCUGCCCGGUGCUCGAAGGUUAAUUGAUGGGGUUAGCAUUAGCGAAGCUCUUGAUCGAAGCCCGAGUAAACGGCGGCCGUAACUAUAACGGUCCUAAGGUAGCGAAAUUCCUUGUCGGUUAAAUACCGACCUGCAUGAAUGGCGUAACGAGAUGGGAGCUGUCUCAAAGAGGGAUCCAGUGAAAUUGUAGUGGAGGUGAAAAUUCCUCCUACCCGCGGCAAGACGGAAAGACCCCGUGGACCUUUACUACAGCUUGACACUGCUAUUUGGAUAAGAAUGUGCAGGAUAGGUGGGAGGCUUUGAGUAUAUGACGCCAGUUGUAUAUGAGCCAUUGUUGAGAUACCACUCUUUCUUAUUUGGGUAGCUAACCAGCUUGAGUUAUCCUCAAGUGGGACAAUGUCUGGUGGGUAGUUUGACUGGGGCGGUCGCCUCCCAAAUAAUAACGGAGGCUUACAAAGGUUGGCUCAUAGCGGUUGGAAAUCGCUAGUAGAGUAUAAAGGUAUAAGCCAGCUUAACUGCAAGACAUACAAGUCAAGCAGAGACGAAAGUCGGUCUUAGUGAUCCGGUGGUUCUGUGUGGAAGGGCCAUCGCUCAAAGGAUAAAAGGUACCCCGGGGAUAACAGGCUGAUCUCCCCCAAGAGCUCACAUCGACGGGGAGGUUUGGCACCUCGAUGUCGGCUCAUCGCAUCCUGGGGCUGGAGCAGGUCCCAAGGGUAUGGCUGUUCGCCAUUUAAAGCGGUACGCGAGCUGGGUUCAGAACGUCGUGAGACAGUUCGGUCCCUAUCUGCCGUGGGCGUAAGAAGAUUGAAGAGAUUUGACCCUAGUACGAGAGGACCGGGUUGAACAAACCACUGGUGUAGCUGUUGUUCUGCCAAGAGCAUCGCAGCGUAGCUAAGUUUGGAAAGGAUAAACGCUGAAAGCAUCUAAGCGUGAAGCCAACUCUAAGAUGAAUCUUCUCUAAGCUCUCUAGAAGACUACUAGUUUGAUAGGCUGGGUGUGUAAUGGAUGAAAGUCCUUUAGCUGACCAGUACUAAUAGAGCGUUUGGCUUAUCUU
This 1685-nucleotide ribosomal RNA is filed under the name Campylobacter upsaliensis. Its description in RNAcentral is "partial 23S ribosomal RNA". It matches the Rfam family "Bacterial large subunit ribosomal RNA", at positions 1248 to 2925 of the family's 2925-position model. The record is from RNAcentral. Lineage: Bacteria; Pseudomonadati; Campylobacterota; Epsilonproteobacteria; Campylobacterales; Campylobacteraceae.